AACGAACGCUGGCGGCAUGCCUAACACAUGCAAGUCGAACGAGACCUUCGGGUCUAGUGGCGCACGGGUGCGUAACGCGUGGGAACCUGCCCUUAGGUUCGGAAUAACUCCCCGAAAGGGGUGCUAAUACCGGAUAAUGUCUUCGGACCAAGGAUUUAUCGCCUUUGGAUGGGCCCGCGUUGGAUUAGCUAGUUGGUAGGGUAAAAGCCUACCAAGGCGACGAUCCAUAGCUGGUCUGAGAGGAUGAUCAGCCACACUGGGACUGAGACACGGCCCAGACUCCUACGGGAGGCAGCAGUGGGGAAUAUUGGACAAUGGGCGAAAGCCUGAUCCAGCAAUGCCACGUGAGUGAUGAAGGCCUUAGGGUUGUAAAGCUCUUUUACCCGGGAUGAUAAUGACAGUACCGGGAGAAUAAGCUCCGGCUAACUCCGUG
Molecule: ribosomal RNA, 433 nt
Filed under: uncultured bacterium
Lineage: Bacteria
Description: partial 16S ribosomal RNA
Rfam family: Bacterial small subunit ribosomal RNA
Source: RNAcentral